GACGAACGCUGGCGGCGUGCUUAACACAUGCAAGUCGAACGAUGAAGCCGGAGCUUGCUCUGGUGAAUUAGUGGCGAACGGGUGAGUAACACGUGAGUAACCUGCCCUUGACUCUGGGAUAACUGCUAGAAAUGGUAGCUAAUACCGGAUACGACCCUCGGCGGCAUCGCCAGGGGGUGGAAAGAAUUUCGGUCAAGGAUGGACUCGCGGCCUAUCAGCUAGUUGGUGAGGUAACGGCUCACCAAGGCGACGACGGGUAGCCGGCCUGAGAGGGUGACCGGCCACACGGGGACUGAGACACGGCCCAGACUCCUCCGGGAGGCAGGAGUGGGGAAUAUUGCACAAUGGGCGCAAGCCUGAUGCAGCAACGCCGCGUGAGGGAUGACGGCCUUCGGGUUGUAAACCUCUUUUAGUAGGGAAGAAGCGAAAGUGACGGUACCUGCAGAAAAAGCACCGGCUAACUACGUGCCAGCAGCCGCCGUAA
RNAcentral lists this ribosomal RNA (484 nucleotides) under uncultured bacterium. RNAcentral's name for it is "partial 16S ribosomal RNA". It matches the Rfam family "Bacterial small subunit ribosomal RNA", at positions 28 to 523 of the family's 1533-position model. The record is from RNAcentral.